Bombus pascuorum is the source of this 952-nucleotide long non-coding RNA. RefSeq lists it as uncharacterized. The transcript has 3 exons. The record is from RefSeq and is a predicted model, not a curated record. Lineage: Eukaryota; Metazoa; Arthropoda; Insecta; Hymenoptera; Apidae.
GCAACCUUUAUAUAUACCGUGUCACGCGGCCGUUGCCUGGCAUGUGUAGUAUUGAUGAAGCAGGACAAAGUCUUUGCCAACCAAAGAAAAUAAGACACCGACAGGCGGUGCGGAGCUCCACCCACCCUUGGGCCAGAAUGAUCAAGAAAAGGGAUUUUAGAACUAGAAAGAAACGGACAAGAGCUGAAAAUCGUGAGCGAAGAAGAGUUUUCGAAGCAGAAUAUUUAUUAAUUUUCGAGAAAUAUCGUUUUGCUGUCCCAACCGGCUAAUUUUGAACGAAAAAUACAAAUCUUUGAAUAAGCAACCGUUUUGAAUUACGAAAGUAAUCGAUUCAAUCUUCGCGGUCUCCGGUGAGCACAUUGAUUCAGCAUUUCACGGAAACCAACCCACUCAUAUUUUCCCUAAAGUCACGAGUAGAUGUAACACAAUAGUUUUUAUGAUGUUAGUAUGAUUUUGUAUGGUAUUCGUUUUUAUGAUGUUAUCGUAUAAGAUAAUUAGUUUUGUUUUAUAUGAUUUUAAUACACAAUAUUGAUAGCUUACCAAACUAUUUAAACGUUUACACUAGAGAAAUCUUUCAUGAAUUGAUUUAUUGUAUGGUACACAGAAUAUUUUAAAAUUUCUAAGUUACAAGAUAUUUAUUGCAAACAUACAGUUUGCAAAAUUACAAAAGUAUUUGAACAAUAAAUCAUUCGUUAUAUUGAUAAGCGCGAAUAUUUAGUGAGACUAUUUUUAGCAUUAGUUACAUGUUCAAGGUCAUUAUUAAUGCUAAUUAGUACUAUGUUAAUUUUUUAUGAAAUAUAUGUUUGCAAUAAAUAUCUGGUUACUUGCAUUUAAAUUUACGAAUCGUUUUGAAAUUUUACCAACAUAGUCACGAUAGUUGUGUCCUAUUACAAUGCUAAAGAAAUAUCAAUAAAUUUCUAUGAAAAAUGUUGGAAUAUUUUCAUAAGUCACU